UACGUAGGGGGCAAGCGUUGUCCGGAAUCAUUGGGCGUAAAGCGCGUGUAGGCGGUUACGUAAGUCUGCUGUGAAAGUCGGAGGCUCAACCUUCGAAAGCCGGUGGAUACUGCGUGACUAGAGUACGGAAGAGGAGAGUGGAAUUCCUGGUGUAGCGGUGAAAUGCGCAGAUAUCAGGAGGAACACCAACGGCGAAGGCAGCUCUCUGGGACGUUACUGACGCUGAGACGCGAAAGCGUGGGGGAGCAAACAGG
RNAcentral lists this ribosomal RNA (254 nucleotides) under uncultured bacterium. Its description in RNAcentral is "partial 16S ribosomal RNA". It matches the Rfam family "Bacterial small subunit ribosomal RNA", at positions 524 to 776 of the family's 1533-position model. The record is from RNAcentral.